UGCUUUGGCCACUCAUUCGGCGAAAAUUAAUGGUGGUGUUCGGUUCUACGUCGCGCAAGGCAGUCUCUAGAGUCUCGCAGAGCUAAGAAUACAUCUUAGAAAAUCGGCAACAAAUAUCCAAGUUCAGCCAAGUUUGCUGUGUGUAGGCAAGCCAUCGAAAAGUUACGACCGAAAUAACGGCAGUUGUCGCAUAGCAAAUGCCAGUUGCAAAUUGCGAGUAAAAAUCGCAAAAUAAAGUGUGCGCAGGCGAAUAAAGAAACAAAGAAACACAAUUAACAAACGUGAAGUAACAAUCCGGCAAAGCAAAUAAACCCGAUAUCGAUUCCGAUCUGCAGCAGAAAAACGUACGUGUCCAUGCAUUGAAUUUUGUGCCAGCGAUUUUUGAAUCCAUCUCCCGUUUUGUCUUAGGCACCCAACAAAUAUACAUCUCUAAAUGCAUAAGCUAAGCAACAGUAUUUUUGCUCAACAAUAAAUAUACAAAAAUUUUGAACACGUAAAUACAAGAAAUAUUUUCGUAGCCGUGAUUAUUUGUUGCAUUUGAAUAAUAACUUUGAAGAUACGAGCAGCAGAGAACGCAGCGAGCUUAAGCCAACAACGUAGUACGACUAGUAAAAGACACCACCAAUUUAAUUUUAUCUAGAAAAAAACAUACGCAUAUGCAAGCAAAGUAGCCAAAAUAUCUAUAUGUUUAGUACGUGUAUUGGUCAUUUAUGAUUGAUAUACUCUCAUAGCAAAGUUAUAUUUACAAAAUCCACAACAUAAUCAGAAGGUGACCCCGCAAAAGACAAUUGCAGCGAUACAGACCGCCGAGUACGGUCAGAUCCACAUACAUUUUCAUCCAUAUCGCGUUAAGACAAAGCCAGCAAAAUAGAUACCAUGGAAGACAAUAACACGAGCAGCAGUGCGGGUGGUGCGUCCAUCAAACACGAGGAUCCUUCGGUGACACUCACAAUAAGGCUGAUUAUGCAAGGAAAGGUAAGCUAAACUGUGUUUUAUUUUAAA
This 1002-nucleotide small RNA is filed under the name Drosophila yakuba. RNAcentral describes it as "GE28164". Lineage: Eukaryota; Metazoa; Arthropoda; Insecta; Diptera; Drosophilidae. The record is from RNAcentral.